GGAAAUAAAAGUCGUAACAAGGUUUCCGUAGGUGAACCUGCGGAAGGAUCAUUAUUGUAUAACCGAGGUGCGAGGCCUGUCGCUGACCCGAAAGGUCGUGCACGCCCGAGUGCCCUCACACACAUCCAUCCCACCCCUAUGUGCACCACCGCGUGGGUCCCCCUUUGGCUUGUUCGGAGGGGGGCUUACGUUUUCACACAAACUUUGUAUGCAGUGUAGAAUGUAUUUUUUGUUUUUGCGAUCACGCAAUCAAUACAACUUUCAACAACGGAUCUCUUGGCUCUC
RNAcentral lists this unclassified non-coding RNA (285 nucleotides) under plant metagenome. RNAcentral describes it as "partial contains small subunit ribosomal RNA, internal transcribed spacer 1, and 5.8S ribosomal RNA". The stretch from base 1 to 54 matches the Rfam family "Eukaryotic small subunit ribosomal RNA", at positions 1778 to 1831 of the family's 1831-position model. The record is from RNAcentral.